UAAGGCUGUCGAUGUCGUGGUUCUCCGGCGGCGUCUCGGCGGCGCUGGAGCUAAGAGGGAAUCCGGUGCGUCACGCCUGCUGCGCGUGGCAAUGCCGGAGCUGCCCCCGCAACUGUGAGCGGCGAGCUCCUGUCCAACUCUGCCACUGAGGCCACACGGCUUCGGGAAGGCCGGACCGGGGCGACGACCCGCGAGCCAGGAGACCUGCCGCGACCUCAUAACGUCC
RNAcentral lists this non-coding RNA (226 nucleotides) under Kaistia sp. The record is from RNAcentral. Lineage: Bacteria; Pseudomonadati; Pseudomonadota; Alphaproteobacteria; Hyphomicrobiales; Kaistiaceae.